RNAcentral lists this long non-coding RNA (1170 nucleotides) under Drosophila melanogaster (fruit fly). RNAcentral describes it as "long non-coding RNA:CR46268 (Dmel_CR46268)". The record is from RNAcentral. Lineage: Eukaryota; Metazoa; Arthropoda; Insecta; Diptera; Drosophilidae.
AUUGGUAGAAAUGGGAAAAUAAAAGAACAUAUUUGAAAAUAAAAAAUGGUUCAAAUUUCUGGGCAUGAGCGGUUUGGCGACCGGUUUGGUGGGAGUGGCAAUGUCAAUAGAAACUUAAGCGACUAAUAAAAUUAUGAAAAAUUAACCAACAAUUUUUCAAAAAUUUAGGCGCGGCAGUUUUGGGCGAUUGUAGGGCGAAUCUAGUGUACCCUUUUACUUUACUUUACGUGUAACGGGUAUAAAGAGCUGAUACAAUGAGAAGGUGGGAAACUGACCGGAAAACGUAAAGCCGACGCUGUCGAUGUACUAGGCCAAGUUGACAGGUUGCUUGUGAGGCUCGAGUGCAGGGAAAUAGAAGGAGAGAGUGGAGGGGAGAGCCGUGCACUGCAAACUGCAAGCGCGGGAGACACCCGCUGACUAUAUGAGGGACUUAAUCGAGAGAGUCUCGAAAACUUGGAAAACCAGCCAGAGGAGGUAGGACACGUAACAGACCAAAUGGAGACCACAAUGGGUGAAGCAGCCGGAGGAAUAGAACUACCACCACUUGGCUAUACUAGGUGUCCCUCCAGUGUGCUUCCGCGGUACCAGUCAAGUUCAGAAGACCGGUCGGAUGCUACGGACAGGCGUGAACGAGAGCUAAUGAAAAUGAGCGUACAAAUAAACGCUCUGAAGAAGAAGGUGGAUGAAUUACACGCCGCAGAGACCUUUACGGAGCAAGACCAAUACCACCACAUGCACUACCUAGAAUUCGUACGGAUAGCUUUCUAAGGCUUCAAGACACACCGACACCAGUAAAAGUGUCGCAAGAGUGCUGUAACGACCAGAUGCAUCGAUUGAGGGAGCCCAGGCGAACGGCGAAACCACAGUAGAUACCUUAAGAAUGCGUUGCCGAGGAACCCAGUCACCAGUUUUUCUCCAAGUAAUGACCAUCACCUCCGGUUUUCGAAUUCGUAAAAUUUUUUGAUUUGUGAAAUGGGUACUUUUGUCUGUCCGAAAUGCCUGUAAAAGUAAAGUAAAUGCCUGUUUUCAUAUCAAAUCAGAUCUUAUUUUUAAAGGGAAAAUUAGUUCACUUAGCCUAUUGAUGUUUAUUCCAUAUCCCCAAAAUGUCAUUCUAGCCACUAAGGUAUUUUAUAAUAAAUUUAUUUGCGACUCUACCACAGAUUUGACAUA